Molecule: ribosomal RNA, 406 nt
Filed under: uncultured bacterium
Lineage: Bacteria
Description: partial 16S ribosomal RNA
Rfam family: Bacterial small subunit ribosomal RNA
Source: RNAcentral
AUUGAACGCUGGCGGCAGGCCUAACACAUGCAAGUCGAACGAGUGGCGGACGGGUGAGUAAUGUCUGGGAAACUGCCUGAUGGAGGGGGCUAACUACUGGAAACGGUAGCUAAUACCGCAUACCCUCAGAUGUGCCCAGAUGGGAUUAGCUUGUUGGUGGGGUAACGGCUCACCAAGGCGACGAGCCCUAGCUGGUCUGAGAGGAUGACCAGCAACACGGGAACGAGGACACGGACCAGACUCCGACGGGAGGCAGCAGUUGGAAAUAUUGCACAAUGGGCGCAAGCGUAAUGCAGCCAUGCCGCGUGUAUGAAGAAGGCCUUCGGGUUGUAAAGUACUUUCAGCGGGGAGGCGUUACCCGCAGAAGAAGCACCGGCUAACUCCGUGCCAGCCGCCGCGGUAAUUC